Molecule: long non-coding RNA, 367 nt
Filed under: Pan paniscus (pygmy chimpanzee)
Lineage: Eukaryota; Metazoa; Chordata; Mammalia; Primates; Hominidae
Description: lncRNA (ENSPPAG00000044982.1)
Source: RNAcentral
GGGAAAUGUAAUGAAUUUGGUAUUGGACAGAUGGAUUUGAAAUGUCUCUGGAAAGAAUUGUCAGAGAUAUUGUGUAGCAUCUGCAUAUAAGAAAAUGAAUAAUUUCUGAAUUCCUGUUGUAGGAGGUGAAAACGGAAAACACAAAGUGAUGGAGGCUUUCCAGCAAGCGGGUAUGGCGUGGAAGCCUGGGGCACACCAACCCAUGAGGCUAGUCAAAGGAAGUGAAGAAGGGAAGACCGCAACAAGGGCAGGAGACAGGAGUCACAAGUACAUUUCCUGGAAUCCAAGGCCUAAGUGUGCUUUAGCAGUAAGGGAGCCACCACCAGAGUUGGAAUUCCUCAGGAGGUUUAUCUCAAAGCCAACCUGA